This 157-nucleotide ribosomal RNA is filed under the name uncultured anaerobic bacterium. RNAcentral describes it as "partial 16S ribosomal RNA". It matches the Rfam family "Bacterial small subunit ribosomal RNA", at positions 354 to 526 of the family's 1533-position model. The record is from RNAcentral.
UGUGGGAAUAUUGCACAAUGGGGGAAACCCUGAUGCAGCAACGCCGCGUGAGCGACGAUUGGCCUUCGGGUUGUAAAGCUCUGUCUUCGCUGACGAAGAAGGACGGUAAGCGAGGAGGAAGCCACGGCUAACUACGUGCCAGCAGCCGCGGUAAGAA